ACGCUCGACACCUACGGGAGGCAGCAGUGAGGAAUAUUGGUCAAUGGCGCUAGCCUGAACCAGCCAAGUAGCGUGAAGGAUGAAGGCUCUAUGGGUCGUAAACUUCUUUUAUAUAAGAAUAAAGUGCAGUAUGUAUACUGUUUUGUAUGUAUUAUAUGAAUAAGGAUCGGCUAACUCCGUGCCAGUAGCCGCGGUAAUCUGAGCGGGCUGGGCAAGGC
This 218-nucleotide ribosomal RNA is filed under the name uncultured bacterium. RNAcentral describes it as "partial 16S ribosomal RNA". It matches the Rfam family "Bacterial small subunit ribosomal RNA", at positions 328 to 539 of the family's 1533-position model. The record is from RNAcentral.